RNAcentral lists this ribosomal RNA (381 nucleotides) under uncultured bacterium. Its description in RNAcentral is "bacterial SSU rRNA". It matches the Rfam family "Bacterial small subunit ribosomal RNA", at positions 132 to 507 of the family's 1533-position model. The record is from RNAcentral.
UGGAGUCGGGGGAUAGCCCGGCGAAAGCCGGAUUAAUACCGCAUACGCUCUGAGGAGGAAAGCGGGGGACCUUAGGGCCUCGCGCUCAAGGGGCGGCCGAUGGCAGAUUAGCUAGUUGGUAGGGUAAAGGCCUACCAAGGCGACGAUCUGUAGCUGGUCUGAGAGGACGACCAGCCACACUGGGACUGAGACACGGCCCAGACUCCUACGGGAGGCAGCAGUGGGGAAUUUUGGACAAUGGGGGCAACCCUGAUCCAGCAAUGCCGCGUGUGUGAAGAAGGCCUUCGGGUUGUAAAGCACUUUUGUCCGGAAAGAAAACGGCCUGGUUAAUACCUGGGCUGGAUGACGGUACCGGAAGAAUAAGCACCGGCUAACUACGUG